This 128-nucleotide small nucleolar RNA is filed under the name Meriones unguiculatus (Mongolian gerbil). Lineage: Eukaryota; Metazoa; Chordata; Mammalia; Rodentia; Muridae. The record is from RNAcentral.
GUUCACAUUUCAUUGUCUUUUUUCCUUCACAUCAAGAGAAGAUAUAUUUGGUGUGCUAAACAGACCUUUGUAGGUAAAUUAGUAGCCUGGCCAAUUUAGCUGCUGCUGUCAGUCACCCUCAGACAAGU